RNAcentral lists this long non-coding RNA (457 nucleotides) under Anser brachyrhynchus (Pink-footed goose). Its description in RNAcentral is "lncRNA (ENSABRG00000019064.1)". Lineage: Eukaryota; Metazoa; Chordata; Aves; Anseriformes; Anatidae. The record is from RNAcentral.
UAUUUCUUUUAUAUUCUCCAUCAAUAAAAGUCAUAGCAGUAAUAAGAGAGGUAUGCAGCUGUGAACAGAAGGGGCAUUUACCCAUCCUGCAGGAAGUGGAAGUCAGCUGAAUACCAGUCAGAGCAGAGAUCUAUACAAAACUUCCUUUUCUUUAAGCUGUCAACAUUUUGAAAGGAGGAAAAUGAAAAUAAUGUUGGAAACAAGCUAGCAAGUACCCAAACUGAAUAAAAACAGUCUGGAAGAAUCUUAAGAGUGGAACUUCUGUGUACAUCAGGGUUGCUGGAGGGGCAUCUUCACUCCUGAAUUCUUCUCUGAUUGAAACUGAGGACCGGUGUGUGAAUUAUCUCAGAAUAACAGAUGCCACCCAUCUAGCCGAUCAGUGCAUCCUGUAGCGCCGAGACCGCCUUUCACCAGCUGGGGGGGUGCCAGGAGCCAAAAUCUGGAACCUGAUUGCGGU